AGUGAACGCUGGCGGCAGGCCUAACACAUGCAAGUCGAGCGGCAGCGCGGGGCGAACCCUGGCGGCGAGCGGCGGACGGGUGAGGAAUGCAUCGGAAUCUACCUCGUUGUGGGGGAGUAACGUAGGGAAACUUACGCUAAUACCGCAUACGACCUACGGGUGAAAGUGGGGGACCUUCGGCCUCACGCGAUGAGAUGAGCCGAUGCCGGAUUAGCUAGUUGGCGGGGUAAAGGCCCACCAAGGCGACGAUCCGUAGCUGGUCUGAGAGGAUGAUCAGCCACACUGGAACUGAGACACGGUCCAGACUCCUACGGGAGGCAGCAGUGGGGAAUAUUGGACAAUGGGCGCAAGCCUGAUCCAGCCAUGCCGCGUGUGUGAAGAAGGCC
RNAcentral lists this ribosomal RNA (386 nucleotides) under uncultured bacterium. RNAcentral describes it as "bacterial SSU rRNA". It matches the Rfam family "Bacterial small subunit ribosomal RNA", at positions 30 to 416 of the family's 1533-position model. The record is from RNAcentral.